This 602-nucleotide long non-coding RNA is filed under the name Elaeis guineensis (African oil palm). Its description in RNAcentral is "long non-coding RNA (EGUI_LNC043726)". Lineage: Eukaryota; Viridiplantae; Streptophyta; Magnoliopsida; Arecales; Arecaceae. The record is from RNAcentral.
UUUGGAUCUGAUCUAAGACAUGAUUAGAAGAUUAAAGUGUUUAAUCAUUUAUUAUUUCACUAUAAAAUUUUAAAAAUAUAUACUUUGAACUAUCUAUUUUUUCUUCGGAUGGUAUCAGAGCUAGGUUUCUUAUGAUAUAAAUUUUUUGUAUAUAAUUUGAUUUUAAUUAUUUAGAUUAGAUCUAAAUAAUUAAUUUUGAAUCUGAGUAGUAUAGUAAUCUAAUUAGAUAGAUCUUCAUAGCCGUCCGGUCAUAGAAGAAAUCAAGAUUUCACAAUCCUAUUUAGCCAUUCGAUAGGAUAUUCUAUGGCAUAUAAGGGUGCUGUGCGAUCUUUUCUAUGAUGAUGAACAAUAAAAAAGAUUUUAAAAUUUUAUUUUGGAUCUGAAGUAAUGUAUAUUAGAUAUGAAAUUAGAGUCUUGAUCAUUAGAUGAUUGAUUAUAAAAAUAUUUUAUAAAAUUAAAAAUUAUUUUCAAACAUCAAAUCUGAACCCAUUUCAAUUUAAAACUUAAUUGAGAAUUAAGUGAUAUAGAUUUGAGAAUCAAAAAUCUAAGGUAUUAAUUUCAUAAUUCAUGGGUUAAUGGGUUAGCUCAAGUCAAAUCCAUUU